Drosophila melanogaster (fruit fly) is the source of this 414-nucleotide non-coding RNA. The record is from Ensembl. Lineage: Eukaryota; Metazoa; Arthropoda; Insecta; Diptera; Drosophilidae.
GAGACAUCGGAACGCACAGGUAUUUGCAGAUGGCAUUCAAGCUUUGAGGGCUGCUCCGCCAGUUGUUUAACCACCACAUUGACCACCUUGUCCUCAUCGGUUACCUUCACAUCGAGAGAGACAUUCGAGUUCUUGACAUGGCCGCCAACCAGUUGGGCGAUAAACACAUCCCCGCUGGUAUACUGAUGCACAUCCGCGGGCUGGAUGCGCAGGAAAACAUCGGACUUCACGUUGAUCCUGGCAAAGGGGUUUACAUAAUGCAGGAUCUCCUGAUGGACCAUCCGCAUGCUCACGGCCAUGGCUGGUUUGAUGUGGGCUCGCGACUUGUUCGCGUAUUGGCGUAGAUGGUUGUUUAAAUGUGUCAACCACACGCGUUGCAGAAGCAUUAUAAAUCCAAUAAAGAAAUGGAAUUUA